GAGGUAGGUGGUCUCAUUAGUCAGGGGUGAAAUCCUGGGGCUUAACCCCAGAAGUGCCUUUGAAACGGUGGGACUGGAGUCCUGGAGAGGGUCGUGGAAUUCCCGGUGUAGCGGUGAAAUGCGUAGAGAUCGGGAGGAACACCAGAGGCGAAGGCGGCGACCUGGACAGGAACUGACACUCAACUCCGAAAGCGUGGGGAGCAAACA
RNAcentral lists this ribosomal RNA (207 nucleotides) under uncultured bacterium. Its description in RNAcentral is "partial 16S ribosomal RNA". It matches the Rfam family "Bacterial small subunit ribosomal RNA", at positions 568 to 774 of the family's 1533-position model. The record is from RNAcentral.